AGAAAAUGUGAGAUACAAUUGUGGCUCGGCGGGAAGCUUUGCGGGAUCUUCGGGAUCAACAUCUCAAAUAGUAGUUGCAUCUUCCACUAAUACUGAAUGUGAUGUCCUGCGAAGCAGUUAUAAUAGUGUAUUUCUUGCUCAUGAUGUUGCAUAUGAUCAAAAUCAUAUCUUUAUAUUUUGGCAGAUAAGGUCGGAUGGAUUGUAUCAUAGUUGGGAUGAACAAUCAUGGAUAAAAAGAGCUAACUGGAACCCUUCUUUUUGAUGAAUAAUAUACUUUUUGAUGAAUAAUAUAUUGUCAUAAUAAUACUUAUAUAAUAAUGUUGCAUAUAUUAUAUAUUUAUCAUAUUUUAUUACUUUUGAUAUUUUGCAAUAUUUUUAAUUUAUGUUUUUUUCAUUAUUUUCAUAGUUGGGAUGAACAAUCUUGG
This 425-nucleotide long non-coding RNA is filed under the name Lathyrus oleraceus (garden pea). RNAcentral describes it as "Pisum sativum (pea) long non-coding RNA (PSAT_LNC040931)". Lineage: Eukaryota; Viridiplantae; Streptophyta; Magnoliopsida; Fabales; Fabaceae. The record is from RNAcentral.